GAUCAGUUACCACCAUCACAAAUCCAGCAACGUCUGUUGGCUCAGUCUUGGUGCAGGUGAUAAGGUUGAUCCAAGCUCCGCCAAAAGAGAGGUGAUGUCGAAAUCCCAAAAUCUCAGCCCCGAUCCCCGAGAGAGGAGUACGCAGUCCUUUUAUUGUCCCAGUCACCACAAUUCCCCCAGAUAGUCUGCCCAUUUCCACGGAGCUCAUUGUCAUACGUGCUGCCCUGUGUUCUUCCAUGUGCACAUGCCCAGGUGUUCACGGUGGUAGUGCAGGAGGGGCAG
Athene cunicularia (burrowing owl) is the source of this 282-nucleotide long non-coding RNA. RefSeq lists it as uncharacterized. The record is from RefSeq and is a predicted model, not a curated record. The transcript is spliced from 3 exons. Lineage: Eukaryota; Metazoa; Chordata; Aves; Strigiformes; Strigidae.